GAUGAACGCUGGCGGCGUGCCUAAUACAUGCAAGUCGAGCGAACAGAUGAGGAGCUUGCUCCUCUGACGUUAGCGGCGGACGGGUGAGUAACACGUGGAUAACCUACCUAUAAGACUGGGAUAACUUCGGGAAACCGGAGCUAAUACCGGAUAAUAUAUUGAACCGCAUGGUUCAAUAGUGAAAGACGGUUUUGCUGUCACUUAUAGAUGGAUCCGCGCCGCAUUAGCUAGUUGGUAAGGUAACGGCUUACCAAGGCGACGAUGCGUAGCCGACCUGAGAGGGUGAUCGGCCACACUGGAACUGAGACACGGUCCAGACUCCUACGGGAGGCAGCAGUAGGGAAUCUUCCGCAAUGGGCGAAAGCCUGACGGAGCAACGCCGCGUGAGUGAUGAAGGUCUUCGGAUCGUAAAACCCUGUUAUUAGGGAAGAACAAAUGUGUAAGUAACUAUGCACGUCUUGACGGUACCUAAUCAGAAAGCCACGGCUAACUACGUG
This 497-nucleotide ribosomal RNA is filed under the name uncultured bacterium. RNAcentral describes it as "partial 16S ribosomal RNA". It matches the Rfam family "Bacterial small subunit ribosomal RNA", at positions 28 to 507 of the family's 1533-position model. The record is from RNAcentral.